Molecule: ribosomal RNA, 253 nt
Filed under: uncultured bacterium
Lineage: Bacteria
Description: partial 16S ribosomal RNA
Rfam family: Bacterial small subunit ribosomal RNA
Source: RNAcentral
UACAGAGGUCUCAAGCGUUGUUCGGAUUCAUUGGGCGUAAAGGGUGCGUAGGCGGCGCGGUAAGUCGGGUGUGAAAUCUUGGAGCUUAACUCCGAAACUGCAUUCGAUACUGCCGUGCUUGAGGACUGGAGAGGAGACUGGAAUUUACGGUGUAGCGGUGAAAUGCGUAGAUAUCCUAAGGAACACCGGUGGCGAAAGCGGCUCACUGGAUCUCUUCUGACGCUGAGGCACGAAAGCUAGGGUAGCGAACGGG